AAAAAAUUCUUAAUGCUACACAUCCAAAGAGUCCAGGUAGCCACAGAGAAGAAUAGAUUGUUUUCGCUAGUUUCAUAAGUGAAAGUCAGCCUGGCAUCCUACUUUAGCUAGAAAACAACAUCAAACAAUGUAUAGUUUUGUGGGCCAAGAAGUUUAUGAGUAAAGAACAGAUCAAGAGAUAGGAAGUCUGUCUCCUAGCAUCACAUUGGCAACUAUGUACCUGUUUGAGCUUGGCACGCUGGUGUAUCUUCUUAGGGUGACUGACCUCCUCGUCUCAAGAUGGGUGCCACAGCUGAAGGAAUGGGGGCCAUGGUUCUGGUCACCGGCUAGUGCAAGGCGGUUUACACCUGGCUAGCUUAGAAGAAUGAGGCCGUGGGUACAGGAACUGCUCCAGGCGAGACUACCUCCCCAGGGAAACAGCACCAGAAAGAAGGUGUACAGUUUUCAUCAGAUUCUCAAAGUUGUCUUAAUCUUCAGCAUGUUAAGAAUCACUGUCUUGGAGAUAAGCUAUAUCGUCCACCUCAUUUCACCAGUCGAGAAACUGCCCACCGCCUCCCAAACCUGAAUGAUUAAGCAACUUGCCUGACAUUCUCCAUGAGUGUAAGGCAGAUCCCAGGCAUGGCCAAAAGUCGGUAGACUUUCAGGAACAUAGGAAUUAGAACCAUCCCCACCAACACCAGUAUCCUCUGGACCUUUCAGGCCAACGAUAGACACUAAAUUUAGUUUUUAAAAAUAUUGGUUUUCACCAUAACUUGUAAGUGGCUCACUGACAUUGUUGAGGAGGCAGGAUUGCAUCAGAGAAACACUGCAUUACUCGGGUUUACCAUCACCCACUUGGCCCUGAUUUAGGACAGAGGCUGCGUAUGUGCACGAAUAAACACUCCCUUCCUCCUGUACUGCAUCCUGCUCACGAGUUUGGUGCCUGUGGCAAGUGUUUGGUCUCCUUUAAUGAAGCCCUGGAGUUGGGGAGAUGCUGUCUCCUUUUGUUUCGUGGAGGAGUGCUGCCAUAUCUAGCCCUGAGAUCUGAAACCUCUACCACAGUUCUCGUCCAACACGGCUUUCAGGUGCGGGGCGUUUGCACAACAGUCUCUUGGACGAUAAUGGAGAAGAUAGAAUUUCACAGAUCAGAAGGAAGUGGCAUGAGUGGAAACCUGCAGAGGUUGAGUUUCCAUGCUCUUCCGCCCUCACCUCAUCUCCACCCCUCUCCGGGUCUGUCCGUGGGAUGCUUGUCCGCACACGUAACUACAAACUGCAAAGUCUGUAAGUAUUUGUUGUCAGCGAUCCACCAAUUAACAUGUAUUCUCCAUAUACAGUGUGUAAACUGCUUUGUCUUUAGCUAAGUGAG
Molecule: long non-coding RNA, 1345 nt
Filed under: Equus asinus (donkey)
Lineage: Eukaryota; Metazoa; Chordata; Mammalia; Perissodactyla; Equidae
Description: lncRNA (ENSEASG00005029677.1, ENSEASG00020027016.1)
Source: RNAcentral